This 253-nucleotide ribosomal RNA is filed under the name uncultured prokaryote. Its description in RNAcentral is "partial 16S ribosomal RNA". It matches the Rfam family "Bacterial small subunit ribosomal RNA", at positions 524 to 776 of the family's 1533-position model. The record is from RNAcentral.
GACGUAGGGUGCGAACGUUGUCCGGAUUUAUUGGGCGUAAAGAGCUCGUAGGCGGCUCGUCGCGUCGACCGUGAAAACUUGGGGCUUAACCCUAAGCUUGCGGUUGAUACGGGCGGGCUAGAGUUCGGUAGGGGAGACUGGAAUUCCUGGUGUAGCGGUGAAAUGCGCAGAUAUCAGGAGGAACACCGGUGGCGAAGGCGGGUCUCUGGGCCGAUACUGACGCUGAGGAGCGAAAGCGUGGGGAGCGAACAGG